GACGAACGCUGGCGGCGUGCUUAACACAUGCAAGUCGAACGGAAAGGCCCUGCUUUUGUGGGGUGCUCGAGUGGCGAACGGGUGAGUAACACGUGAGUAACCUGCCCUUGACUUUGGGAUAACUUCAGGAAACUGGGGCUAAUACCGGAUAGGAGCUCCUGCUGCAUGGUGGGGGUUGGAAAGUUUCGGCGGUUGGGGAUGGACUCGCGGCUUAUCAGCUUGUUGGUGGGGUAGUGGCUUACCAAGGCUUUGACGGGUAGCCGGCCUGAGAGGGUGACCGGCCACAUUGGGACUGAGAUACGGCCCAGACUCCUACGGGAGGCAGCAGUGGGGAAUAUUGCACAAUGGGCGGAAGCCUGAUGCAGCAACGCCGCGUGGGGGAUGACGGCCUUCGGGUUGUAAACCGCUUUCGCCUGUGACGAAGCGUGAGUGACGGUAAUGGGUAAAGAAGCACCGGCUAACUACGU
This 467-nucleotide ribosomal RNA is filed under the name uncultured bacterium. Its description in RNAcentral is "partial 16S ribosomal RNA". It matches the Rfam family "Bacterial small subunit ribosomal RNA", at positions 28 to 506 of the family's 1533-position model. The record is from RNAcentral.